Molecule: long non-coding RNA, 269 nt
Filed under: Pan troglodytes (chimpanzee)
Lineage: Eukaryota; Metazoa; Chordata; Mammalia; Primates; Hominidae
Description: long non-coding RNA NONPTRT003599
Source: RNAcentral
GACCAAGACACUCACUUUACAGUUAAAGAAGUGUGGGAGUGGGCUCGUGCUCAUGGAAUUAACUGGUCCUACCAUAUUCCCCAUCAUCCUGAAGCCAUACUGGACACCAAUUUCUUUAGUUUUUGGGACUCGGACUGGCUCCCCUUGCUCCUCAGCUUGCAGAUGGCCUAUUGUGGGACCUUGUGAUCCUAUGAGUUCAUAAUUAAUAAAUGCUCCUUUAUAUAUGUAUAUGUAUCCUAUUGGUUCUGUCCCUCUGGAGAACUCUGACU